This 394-nucleotide ribosomal RNA is filed under the name uncultured bacterium. Its description in RNAcentral is "partial 16S ribosomal RNA". It matches the Rfam family "Bacterial small subunit ribosomal RNA", at positions 523 to 918 of the family's 1533-position model. The record is from RNAcentral.
AUACGGAGGAUCCGAGCGUUAUCCGGAUUUAUUGGGUUUAAAGGGAGCGUAGGCGGGAGAUCAAGUCAGCUGUGAAAUGUAGAUGCUCAACAUCUGCACUGCAGUUGAAACUGGUUUUCUUGAGUGCGUACGGGGCAGGCGGAAUUCGUCGUGUAGCGGUGAAAUGCUUAGAUAUGACGAAGAACUCCGAUCGCGAAGGCGGCCUGCCGGGCCGCGACUGACGCUGAAGCUCGAAGGUGCGGGUAUCGAACAGGAUUAGAUACCCUGGUAGUCCGCACAGUAAACGAUGGACACCCGCGGUUUGGCCUGUAUGGCUGAGCCGCCAAGCGAAAGCGUUAAGUGUCCCACCUGGGGAGUACGCCGGCAACGGUGAAACUCAAAGGAAUUGACGGGG